UGGGGAAUUUUGGACAAUGGGCGAAAGCCUGAUCCAGCAAUGCCGCGUGUGUGAAGAAGGCCUUCGGGUUGUAAAGCACUUUUGUCCGGAAAGAAAUCCUUGGCUCUAAUACAGUCGGGGGAUGACGGUACCGGAAGAAUAAGCACCGGCUAACUACGUGCCAGCAGCCGCGGUAAUACGUAGGGUGCAAGCGUUAAUCGGAAUUACUGGGCGUAAAGCGUGCGCAGGCGGUUUGCUAAGACCGAUGUGAAAUCCCCGGGCUCAACCUGGGAACUGCAUUGGUGACUGGCAGGCUAGAGUAUGGCAGAGGGGGGUAGAAUUCCACGUGUAGCAGUGAAAUGCGUAGAGAUGUGGAGGAAUACCGAUGGCGAAGGCAGCCCCCUGGGCCAAAUACUGACGCUCAUGCACGAAAAGCGUGGGGGAGCAAAACAGGAUUAGAUACCCUGGUAGUCCACGCCCUAAACGAUGUCAACUAGUUGUUGGGGAUUCAUUUCCUUAGUAACGUAGCUAACGCGUGAAGUUGACCGCCUGGGGAGUACGGUCGCAAGAUUAAAACUUAAAUGAAUUGACGGGGUCAUAGCUGUUUCCU
This 589-nucleotide ribosomal RNA is filed under the name uncultured bacterium. RNAcentral's name for it is "partial 16S ribosomal RNA". It matches the Rfam family "Bacterial small subunit ribosomal RNA", at positions 355 to 1375 of the family's 1533-position model. The record is from RNAcentral.